GACGAACGCUGGCGGCGUGCUUAACACAUGCAAGUCGAGCGGUAAGGCCCUUCGGGGUACACGAGCGGCGAACGGGUGAGUAACACGUGGGUGACCUGCCUCUAGCUCUGGGAUAAGCCUGGGAAACUGGGUCUAAUACCGGAUAUGACUCCACGGCGCAUGUUGUGGGGUGGAAAGCCUUGUGUGGCUAGAGAUGGGCCCGCGGCCUAUCAGCUUGUUGGUGGGGUGAUGGCCUACCAAGGCGACGACGGGUAGCCGGCCUGAGAGGGCGACCGGCCACACUGGGACUGAGACACGGCCCAGACACCUACGGGUGGCAGCAGUCGAGAAUUUUUCUCAAUGGGGGAAACCCUGAAGGAGCGACGCCGCGUGGAGGAUGAAGGCUUUCGGGUUGUAAACUCCUGUCAUUUGAGAACAAGGCUCCGUAAUUUAACUGGUUCGGGGUUGAUAGUAUCAGAAGAGGAAGGGGACGGCUAACUCUGUG
RNAcentral lists this ribosomal RNA (484 nucleotides) under uncultured bacterium. Its description in RNAcentral is "bacterial SSU rRNA". It matches the Rfam family "Bacterial small subunit ribosomal RNA", at positions 28 to 507 of the family's 1533-position model. The record is from RNAcentral.